AUUGAACGCUGACGGCAGGCCUAACACAUGCAAGUCGAGCGGUAGAGAGAAGCUUGCUUCUCUUGAGAGCGGCGGACGGGUGAGUAAAGCCUAGGAAUCUGCCUGGUAGUGGGGGAUAACGUUCGGAAACGGACGCUAAUACCGCAUACGUCCUACGGGAGAAAGCAGGGGAUCUUCGGGCCUUGCGCUAUCAGAUGAGCCUAGGUCGGAUUAGCUAGUUGGUGAGGUAAUGGCUCACCAAGGCGACGAUCCGUAACUGGUCUGAGAGGAUGAUCAGGCACACUGGAACUGAGACACGGUCUAGACUCCUACGGGAGGCAGCAGUGGGGAAUAUUGGACAAUGGGCGAAAGCCUGAUCCAGCCAUGUCGCGUGUGUGAAGAAGGUCUUCGGAUUGUAAAGCACUUUAAGUUGGGAGGAAGGGCAUUAACCUAAUACGUUAGUGUUUUGACGUUACCGACAGAAUAAGCACCGGCUAACUCUGUGCCAGCCGCCGCCGUAA
Molecule: ribosomal RNA, 500 nt
Filed under: uncultured bacterium
Lineage: Bacteria
Description: partial 16S ribosomal RNA
Rfam family: Bacterial small subunit ribosomal RNA
Source: RNAcentral